CACCUCAAGAAGGCUACAUCUCACGAAUGGCACUCUCAGUGCUUUUAAAGAGGUCCCAAGAUGUACUACAUCGCUAUAUAGAGGAUGAAAGAUUAAGUGGUAAAUGCCCUCUUCCAAGGCAACAAGUAACAGAAAUUAUAUUUGUUUUAAAAGCAGUCAGUACUCUUAUUGAUUCACUUAAGAAAACUCAGCCUGAGAAUGUUGAUGGAAAUACCUGGGCACAAGUAAUUGCCUUAUACCCAACUUUAGUAGAAUGCAUCACCUGUUCUUCUUCAGAAGUCUGUUCUGCACUUAAAGAGGCACUAGUUCCUUUUAAGGAUUUCAUGCAGCCACCAGCAUCCAGAGUUCAAAAUGGAGAAUCUUGACCGGCUACAAUAUAUUUGAAAGCAGGAAGAUAGUCUAAAAAAUGUUUGCUCCUAAUUGAGUCUUCUGUGAGAAGGACAUUUCUUACUGCAGAUAAUUCUUGGCAGCUGUUGUUGGCCUCCUUUAAAUUCUACUUACCUGAGUUCAGUAAUUCAUAUUACAGGCUUGCACAUCAACAAAGGCUCCUGAAUGAACAGCAGUGUAAGGCUUUAAUAAAUUAAACUGAUGGGAGGGAUAAUUAACACUACAGUAUACAUGCUACCAUAUCUCCAGUUGGUGAUUUAAAGUGAGCUUAUGUACAGUUUGUGGUGUAUGUGUUAAUGAUGUACUUUUUAAAAAGAAAGAAGAGAUAUUUCAAUUCAGUCAGAUUUAUUAGUCUGGUGUUUUUGCACCCUUUUUCAAGUACAAAAUCGUACUAGAAUUUUAUGCAAGAUGGUACUGUAACAUUCCAUAUUAUCUAUAACCAGCCUUUGUUAACAAAGGGAACUGAUAUACUUGUGUGUAUAAUAAAUGGUACAGUUCUGUAUAAAAUAGUGCAUUUAUUUAAAUUUUAAAAGUAUUGAUAAUG
RNAcentral lists this long non-coding RNA (931 nucleotides) under Homo sapiens (human). RNAcentral describes it as "long non-coding RNA NONHSAT162319.1". The record is from RNAcentral. Lineage: Eukaryota; Metazoa; Chordata; Mammalia; Primates; Hominidae.